UCAGUAUACGCCGCGCUACUGCAAGGUUAGGAAGUCGUUGGCGAAGGCUUAAGGCCAAAAAAGUCCGUGGUUUUUAUCGAAAAUUAGUAUUUCUUUCAGUGUGGAAUUUCAAACUGCACCAUAGAUCUACCUAAAACGCAAUCGGUUGAAAAGGCCGUGUUCCCCUACUACAGUGCCGUUUCAGAGGUGAAAGGUCUACUGCCUGUGAAGUCUUAAAGACAGCGACUCUUCAGAACAGGUUAAUCUGAAGGAUUUUAAAAGCUGGCUGUUAUUUUCUAUAUGACUAAAAUCUGUGCUGCACAGUGAUGGGUUAUCUGUGGGCAUUAGCAAUGAAGGUUGCAGUGGAUGAUCUGAGGUGAUGUCAUUUCAGUCUUACAGCGCACUAACUGUAAGCGAUGUUAGAACAUUUACACAUUUUUGGAGAAAAUUCUUAUGGCAUGGAUGCACACCUCACCAGAAGCAAGGCAAAUCAGUUGGGAAGUUUUCAAGAUAACCAAAGGAUUAAGGAAUCUUCAAACAAUGCAGUGUCAAUGUUAUGGCAGAAUUUGUAUGGUUAUCCACAUUCCAUCCUGUUAACAAUAUUGAAGGCUGAACAUUUACUGCUUUUUUUACUUCUCUUAGUUUGAGCUAAUUCACUCCUG
This is a long non-coding RNA of Macrobrachium nipponense, 641 nucleotides long. RefSeq lists it as uncharacterized. The transcript is spliced from 4 exons. The record is from RefSeq and is a predicted model, not a curated record. NCBI's taxonomy places the organism in Eukaryota, Metazoa, Arthropoda, Malacostraca, Decapoda, Palaemonidae.